RNAcentral lists this ribosomal RNA (330 nucleotides) under uncultured eukaryote. Its description in RNAcentral is "partial 18S ribosomal RNA". It matches the Rfam family "Eukaryotic small subunit ribosomal RNA", at positions 1470 to 1796 of the family's 1831-position model. The record is from RNAcentral.
CCCUUAGAUGUUCUGGGCUGCACGCGCGCUACACUGAUGCGCUCAACGAGUUUUAACCUUGCCUGGAAAGGUUGGGUAAUCUUUUUAAAACGCAUCGUGAUGGGGAUAGAUUAUUGCAAUUAUUAAUCUUCAACGAGGAAUUCCCAGUAAGCGCGAGUCAUCAGCUCGCGUUGAUUACGUCCCUGCCCUUUGUACACACCGCCCGUCGCUACUACCGAUUGAAUGGUUUAGUGAGGACUCCUGAUUGGCGCCGCCGCCCCGGCAACGGAGCAGCGGACUGCCGAAAAGUUGUUCAAACUUGAUCAUUUAGAGGAAGUAAAAGUCGUAACA